RNAcentral lists this non-coding RNA (53 nucleotides) under Bradyrhizobium sp. RNAcentral's name for it is "Li+-I sequence". It matches the Rfam family "nhaA-I RNA". From Rfam's summary of the family: Acidobacteria, Alphaproteobacteria, Betaproteobacteria and Gammaproteobacteria, Verrucomicrobia, cand. division NC10. Downstream gene Lineage: Bacteria; Pseudomonadati; Pseudomonadota; Alphaproteobacteria; Hyphomicrobiales; Nitrobacteraceae. RNAcentral also lists the same sequence under 1 other name. The record is from RNAcentral.
GGGUGUUGUCUGCAUGGAGCAGUGACAGGUUGAGCGAUGGUCGGGCCACCACG